CACAGUUUGGCUCUUUGAUUUAAUUGUCAAUCAGCUUUCCAAAGCUGCCCUAGGCAGGUACUGAAAACACAUUUUUAACACUUAACAUUUACCUCUAUGAUGUUUAAUAUGUUGUCAAUCUAAAUGUUUGAGUACCGUAUUUUUCGCACUAUAAGAAUCACUUAAAAUCCUUUAAUUUUCCCAAAAAUCGCCAGUGCGCCUUAUAAUCCACUGCGCCUUAUGCGUGAAUUUUACCUGUAAGGUAUUAAGGAGCAGAAAAGCUCCUCCAUUAAAGUGCAGCGUUACACAAGAGUUUCAGUUUAGUUCUCCAUCAGUGUUAGCAUUAGCUGCUAACAAUGUGAAGCAUUAGCUCGUUUGCCCUUCAGAGCAGGUAGCUGAGCAGAGUUAGUCUGGAAGAAACAGAUGCAGAAAUGGCCUCAAACUGCUUCAUAUUCUUAACUGUGUGGAUACACCUCGUUUUAUCCGGAAUCAGAGCUGAAACAUCUUGCAGAAAUGAGCUUAUUAGCAGCAUCGAAAUCUCCACCAACCUGCAGUCUGAUGUUUUGCUGCCCUGUAACUUCAACCCAAGCCUCCUCGGAUCAGACCUGACUGCAGAUAUAGCAGCAGUGUGGAGUUAUAUAAAUAUAACAGAAGAUCCUUUUAUGGAGAUCAGUCUGAAGAGUGGAGUAAUGUUCUGGAAUAACAGAGAUGGACGAAUUAAUCCGUUCCCUAAACUCUCAACAUCUGGAAACUUCUCCAUCCUCCUCCAUAAAGUGAAUAAAUCUGAUCUGGGUCUGUACCGCUGUGAACUGUUUAACGAGACCAACUGCAGCAUCGCUUAUCAGGAGAUCCAUCUGACUGAAACAUCAUGCAAAAAUGAACUUAUCAGAAGCACCAACAUGGGCGGCACGGUGGCGCGGUGGGUAGCACCUCCGCCUCACAGCAAGACGGCCUGGGUUCGAUUCCCGGCUGGGGCGACCCGGGUCUUUCUGUGUGGAGUUUGCACGUUCUCCCCGUGUCUGCGUGUCUGCGUGGGUUUCCUCCGGGUUCUCCAGUUUCCUCCCACAGUCCAAAGACGGCACGUUUAGGCUAAUUGGAACUUGAUUGAAAUUGCCCCUUAGGUGUGAGUGUGUGAGUGUGUGAGUGAAUGUGUCUGUGUGUCUGUCUGUGUCUGUCUGCCCUGCGAUGGAUUGGCGGCCUGUCCAGGGUGUAUCCUGCCUUCCGNGGGUGUGAGUGUGUGAGUGGGUGAGUGAAUGUGUCUGUGUGUCUGUCUGCCUUGCGAUGGCUUAGAUCGUAGAACCUUGUGAUUAGACAGUACCUUUCCUGCCGCGAAAUAGCCGACGAGCUGAUGUGGCGUUAAACUCGACUACCCAACCCAACCCAAGCACCAACAUCUCCACUGAUCUGCAGUCUGAUGUUCUGCUGCCUUGUAAAUUCAACUCAAGCCUCCUCGGAUCAGAUCUGACUGCAGAUAUAGCAGCAGUGUGGAGUUAUAUAAAUAAAACAGAAGAUCCUUUUAUGGAGAUCA
Molecule: long non-coding RNA, 1507 nt
Filed under: Astyanax mexicanus (Mexican tetra)
Lineage: Eukaryota; Metazoa; Chordata; Actinopteri; Characiformes; Acestrorhamphidae
Description: lncRNA (ENSAMXG00005005857.1)
Source: RNAcentral